RNAcentral lists this ribosomal RNA (1418 nucleotides) under metagenome. Its description in RNAcentral is "SSU rRNA". It matches the Rfam family "Eukaryotic small subunit ribosomal RNA", at positions 3 to 1386 of the family's 1831-position model. The record is from RNAcentral.
CCUGGUUGAUCCUGCCAGCAAUCAUAUGCUUGUCUCAAAGAUUAAGCCAUGCAUGUCUAAGUAUAAGUGAUUGUACUGCGAAACUGCGAAUGGCUCAUUAUAUCAGUUAUAAUCUACUUGAUUGAUUCUGUUACUUGGAUAACUGUAGGAAUUCUAGAGCUAAUACAUGCAAAAAGUCUGGAUCGGGGGCAACCUCGGGAAGGACGCGUUUACUAGUCGAGAAACCAGGAUAGGGCGUUAACCUUUGGGUAACUGAAGGGUUCUAUUGUAACAGAUGACUCACAGUAAGUCUCACGCGAAUCGAGGGCUUAGGCCUUUGAUGAUGCAAACGAGUUUCUGCCCUAUCAACUUUCAACCGUAGUGUAGGGGACUACGGUGGUUGUAACGGGUACGGGGAAUUAGGGUUCGAUUCCGGAGAGGCAGCCUGAGAAACGGCUACCACUUCCAAGGAAGGCAGCAGGCGCGUAAAUUAUCCAAUCCCAAUUCGGGGAGAUAGUGACAAGAAAUACUGAUGUAGGGCCUUUUGGGUUCUACUAUUGGAAUGAGUACAAUUUAAAACCAUUAGCGAGGAACAAUUGGAGGGCAAGUCUGGUGCCAGCAGCCGCGGUAAUUCCAGCUCCAAGAGUGUAUAUUAAAGUUGUUGCGGUUAAAAAGCUCGUAGUUGGACUUAAGGUGAGGGUGCGGAGUCCCUGGUGGCAUUGCUGCUGGGAUAAAGGCUUUGUUACUCUCUCCUAUUUCUAGGGACGCAAAACACUGGGGCAACUCAGUGGUCUCUCAGGAUUUACUUUGAAAAAAUUAGGGUGUUAAAAGCAGGCGAAUCGCCUUGAAUACAUAAGCAUGGGAUAAUGAAAGAUGACCUUUUGGUCUAUACUUUAUUGGUUUCUAAGGCCGAGGUAAUGAUUAACAGGGACAGUUGGGGUCGCUUGUAUUCAGUGGUCAGAGGUGAAAUUCUAGGACCCACUGAGGACAAACAAAUGCGAAGGCAUUCGACAAGGAUGUUUUCAUUAAUCAAGAACGAAAGUUGUGGGAUCGAAGAUGAUCAGAUACCGUCGUAGUCGCAACCGUAAACUAUGUUGACUUAGGAUUGGGGGAUGUUAAUAGAUGACUCUCCUAGCACUAUGUGCGAAAGCAUAAGUAUUCGAACUCCGGGGGGAGUAUGGUCGCAAGGCUGAAACUUAAAGGAAUUGACGGAAGGACACCACCAGGAGUGGAACCUGCGGCUUAAUUUGACCCAACACGGGGAAACUCACCCGGUCCGGACAUUACGAGGAUUGACAGAUUGAUAGCUCUUUCUUGAUUUGAUGGAAGCCGGUGCAUGGCCGUUUUUAGUUGGUGGAGUGAUUUGUCUGGUUAAGUCCGAUAACGAACGAGACCUCAAUCUGCUAAAUAGUACCGUUCACAGGGUGAUCUCUGGGUCC